Long non-coding RNA from Xyrauchen texanus (razorback sucker), 635 nucleotides. RefSeq lists it as uncharacterized. The record is from RefSeq and is a predicted model, not a curated record. The transcript is spliced from 7 exons. NCBI's taxonomy places the organism in Eukaryota, Metazoa, Chordata, Actinopteri, Cypriniformes, Catostomidae.
GGAUGAUACAAAGAAGAGGGCAUAUAAAACCCGUGACACGACGCAUGAUUGUCUCUUUUCCACUCAUUGUACAGCGAUUUGAAGUGGUGUUCCGUUGUAACAUGUCCUCGUCGGGAGAUUGUUUUCUGAUUUCAAACAUUAUGGUACUAGGCGUGCACGUGGGAUUGGGUGAAUGGCGCCGAAGCACGUGCUUGAAGAGAACGUGAUGAAAGGGUCAAAGGGAUGAAAAUCCAGUCGAGUGAUUGUACAGACACAAUCAAAUGUGGCGAAAUAUUGUGCUUUCACUGAUGGUGAGAACAUGGAAGUUUCUACUUCAAAGAGGCUGAAAGAGCUUUCACUGAUGGUGAGAACAUGGAAGUUUCUACUGAAAAGAUACUGUGGUUGCAAAAGAGCUUUCACUGAUGGUGAGAACAUGGAAUUUUUUACUGCUGAGAUGCUGAGUUGGCAAAAGAGGUGUGACUCGUUCAGCCUUGGUUGCCUAAAGUUCAACGAGCCCUCUUUGUGGAUGGAUGUGCUGCUAUAAUAUUUUACAGAUGAGUGCAUAUCUGCAACCCAUGAAUGCUGUUGCCACAUUGUGUACUCUUAAUGAACAUGGUUAAUUUGAAUGUCUUGUGCUGUUCCAAUAAAAUAUAUAA